Long non-coding RNA from Hordeum vulgare subsp. vulgare (domesticated barley), 1001 nucleotides. RefSeq lists it as uncharacterized. The record is from RefSeq and is a predicted model, not a curated record. The transcript is spliced from 5 exons. NCBI's taxonomy places the organism in Eukaryota, Viridiplantae, Streptophyta, Magnoliopsida, Poales, Poaceae.
CCCUCGACCCGCAACCCAAACCCUAACCCUCCCGUCGGACCCCUGUCCCCUCUCCCCAAUUGGACCGUUGCCGCCGCCGCCGCCCACCUACGGCGGCCAAUCCCGCCUCCUUGCCUUCAUCGACGACCACCCGCUCCCACCGCCCGCGGCUAUACCGUCCUGUCGACCACCGGUGGCCUGCUCGCCGGUGAGUACGUGCAGCGAUCUCAAGAGAAGCGUGCUCGCAAGGGGAGGGGGAGGUGCCGGAUCUCGCGGGACAAGUGCGUCAACAACGUGUGAAUCCUCAGAUGGAUAUGCAGGCUAUGGAUCGAUGCCACCAUAUUGGGAACAUUUUGUUACAACUAGAAUUGUCAUGCUUAGGAUUUCCCUUGCUGAUUGGGAACAUUUUGUGAAACUUAUGUUAUUCAUGUAGCUUUUGCAGUGGAAGGGCAAGUGAAAGAGAAGACUCGUUGGUGCCAACUGCUGAAAGACCUCAGUGAGAAAUUUAAGGCGUUGAAGAUAGAGCACCAGAUGUUACUGAAAGAAUCAGUGGACUACAAAAAGUGUUUGUAAGAUGUUACAUAGAGGUACUUGACGCGAGUCCCUCCAGGGCGCGAGAGGGUCGCUCGUGGGCGUGCCGUGCCGCAGGGCUUGGACGGGAGGGCGUCCUUGGUAGCUAUGGCAAUCGCCGGAACAAGACCCACACGUUGUGCAUCCGCUACGGCCGCCGCAGCUUCCACAUGCAUAAGAGCACCUGCUCCUUGUGUGGCUACCCCACCGCCCGCAUCUGCAAGUGUGAAGUGCGAAUCUAAGUCCGAAGCUCUGAAGCAUAUCAGCGAAGAGUAGCAUAUUAUAUGUUGUAAUUGUAGGCAGUAGUAGGCUUUUCUGGGUUGUAGUAUAUUGUAACGAUUGUAAUAUACUAAUGUAGUCUUGUUUUGGAUGAAUUUCAUUUGCUCUCUGGAUUGUUUGAAAUAAUGAUUGUGUAUGUGAUUUGAAUACCCGUCAAAGGUAUACAUUGCUCA